Molecule: long non-coding RNA, 1276 nt
Filed under: Bos mutus (wild yak)
Lineage: Eukaryota; Metazoa; Chordata; Mammalia; Artiodactyla; Bovidae
Description: lncRNA (ENSBMUG00000003056.1)
Source: RNAcentral
CCGGGGAUCAGUGCCCCGAAGCCCCGGGGCCGCCCCUCGGCCCGCUAGCUCACAGCUCAGGUGCCUCCGGCCGGGAGGAGGGAGCCGCCGGUGAUCGCGGGGCCGGGGAGCGGGAGCCGGACUCCAGCCCUUCAUCCCGACUGGCCGCGGCCUCCCGGGGCCAGGUUCCGCCGGCUCCUCCCGUGCGUGGAAUCCUACGAAGAAUAGAAGCCAAACAGCCAUAAAUUCUAAGCCUGGACUUCAGGGUCCCUGCGUGCAGUGACUGAGUUCACAGGCGCCUCUGUGGGCAACGUACUCUCCGGAAGCAGCACCAGGGCUAAGACUUGGACGAUGGUCCGCAGGAUCAGAAGCCUCUAGGGGACAGCGCCCCCUUCCCGGCCGCGGGCGUCCCCUUCCCCGCCUGCAGCCUCGGGCGCUCUCGGUGCGCGGUUCCGGAGCAGAGUGCACGCAGUCAGGCACCAGAUGCAUCACUCAAGUUCCACUGGACCUUUCCUCCUCAAAGGGCACUUGAAGUUCAAGGUAAGGUGAAAAGCAAGUGGGUUAACCCUGUUGGCUACAGGGAAGGUGCAUGCUGAAGAGGCGGGAGACCUGGUCUAGGCCUGCUGGCUGCCUUCUCCUUCCUCCUGCCCCGCCACCUCCAGGCCUGACUUCCCUCUAAGAAACAGAGUUUCUCUUUCAGCCAACAGAUAUCUCUUCACAGUCAGAAGUUUAGGAGAAAUUCAUCAUGUUCUUGGAUUUAGAAUAAUUUGGGGGGAUUAAACCAGACAGCAGAGAUGUGUGAUACACCUGGAGGGUUACCUGAGUGGACACAGGACACCUGGACAGACUUCCACAGCAUCCUAGAUGUGACAGCUACUCUACAGGACACUUGUGGGAGGUGGGAAUAGGAUUUUCAGAUGACAUUGCUCCUGAGUGUGGGUAGCAGAGACCCCUGGUAACAUCAAAACCCUUGAUGUUCGGAUUCAAGAGUAGAGAAACCCCAGGGGUAGAGAAACUUGGGGUUUCCCAGAUCAGACUCUCUGGUUACUACAGAAUGCCCCUCUACCUGUGUGUUUAUCUCUGAUCAGUCACAUCUCUCAGUGAAUAGGGGACAGAUCCUGACUUAGAGCCAGAAGUCCAGUCCCAUCUGGGCACAUCUGAGCAAGUCUCUCAGCCAGCACACAGGGUGGAAAGCCUCGGAGGCCCAGGGAACCGCUGAGGGGCUGGCCUGUGUUGCGUACGUACCCAAGACAGCGCCCAGGUAAGCGGUGCUCAUCCUGGGAUCUGUGUUUGCCCC